AUAAAUAAUUGUGAAAAUUAUAUGAAGUAUUUUGACUAAAUUUAUGAAAAUAAAUGACACAUUCAAAUUUUGAAGGUAAAGUGCUGUUAGCUGAUUCAAAUCAAAUAAAUUAAAAGGUGGAUAGUAAAAUUAGAAUUUUAAUUUAAAAGAUUGGGGACUGAUUUGGUUUCUCGAAAAAGAGUGAAAAAUUUGAAGAAAUUU
This 201-nucleotide long non-coding RNA is filed under the name Ananas comosus (pineapple). RNAcentral describes it as "long non-coding RNA (ACOM_LNC010326)". The record is from RNAcentral. Lineage: Eukaryota; Viridiplantae; Streptophyta; Magnoliopsida; Poales; Bromeliaceae.